Molecule: microRNA precursor, 110 nt
Organism: Gallus gallus (chicken)
Lineage: Eukaryota; Metazoa; Chordata; Aves; Galliformes; Phasianidae
Source: Ensembl
GGGCACCCUGUCCUGGAGGCUGGCACGGUGCUAGGGAUUUCUGUGCCAGCAUCUUGCACUGACUCCCUUGUCCUGUGCCCCAGGAGUGGAAGAGGAGGUGGCAGAUGUGC